This 76-nucleotide transfer RNA is filed under the name Corynebacterium pseudotuberculosis. Its description in RNAcentral is "tRNA-Thr". The record is from RNAcentral. Lineage: Bacteria; Bacillati; Actinomycetota; Actinomycetes; Mycobacteriales; Corynebacteriaceae.
AGGCUGCUCGCAAAAUUAGUGAGUUAGUCUGUAGCGUGUGCUGGAGUGGCGCAAUUGGUAGCGCAACGGUCUUGUA